RNAcentral lists this ribosomal RNA (469 nucleotides) under uncultured bacterium. Its description in RNAcentral is "bacterial SSU rRNA". It matches the Rfam family "Bacterial small subunit ribosomal RNA", at positions 331 to 793 of the family's 1533-position model. The record is from RNAcentral.
CCAGACUCCUACGGGAGGCAGCAGUGGGGAAUAUUGCGCAAUGGGCGAAAGCCUGACGCAGCGACGCCGCGUGAGGGAUGAAGGUCUUCGGAUCGUAAACCUCUGUCAGCAGGGAAGAACGGUCACUGUGCUAAUCAGCAGUGAAUUGACGGUACCUGCAAAGGACGCACCGGCUAACUACGUGCCAGCAGCCGCGGUAAUACGUAGGGAGCGAGCGUUGUCCGGAAUUACUGGGUGUAAAGGGAGCGUAGGCGGGACUGCAAGUUGGGUGUCAAAUCUACCGGCUCAACCGGUGGCCGCACUCAAAACUGCAGUUCUUGAGUGAAGGAGAGGCAGGCGGAAUUCCUAGUGGAGCGGUGAAAUGCGUAGAUAUUAGGAGGAACACCAGUGGCGAAGGCGGCUUACUGGACAGUAACUGACGUUGAGGCUCGAAAGCGUGGGGAGCAAACAGGAUUAGAUACCCGGGUAU